RNAcentral lists this transfer RNA (61 nucleotides) under Simuliidae sp. Cyprus 2. RNAcentral's name for it is "tRNA-Cys". The record is from RNAcentral. Lineage: Eukaryota; Metazoa; Arthropoda; Insecta; Diptera; Simuliidae.
AAAUAGGCUUUAUAGUCAUUAAUGAUAUUAGACUGCAAUUCUAAAGGAGUAUAUUUUAUAC